GAUGAACGCUGGCGGCGUGCCUAAUACAUGCAAGUCGAGCGAACGGACGAGAAGCUUGCUUCUCUGAUGUUAGCGGCGGACGGGUGAGUAACACGUGGAUAACCUACCUAUAAGACUGGGAUAACUUCGGGAAACCGUAGCUAAUACCGGAUAAUAUUUUGAACCGCAUGGUUCAAAAGUGAAAGACGGUGUUGCUGUCACUUAUAGAUGGAUCCGCGCUGCAUUAGCUAGUUGGUAAGGUAACGGCUUACCAAGGCAACGAUGCAUAGCCGACCUGAGAGGGUGAUCGGCCACACUGGAACUGAGACACGGUCCAGACUCCUACGGGAGGCAGCAGUAGGGAAUCUGCCGCAAUGGGCGAAAGCCUGACGGAGCAACGCCGCGUGAGUGAUGAAGGUCUUCGGAUCGUAAAACUCUGUUAUUAGGGAAGAACAUAUGUGUAAGUAACUGUGCACAUCUUGACGGUACCUAAUAAGAAAGCCACGGCUAACUACGUG
This 497-nucleotide ribosomal RNA is filed under the name uncultured bacterium. RNAcentral's name for it is "partial 16S ribosomal RNA". It matches the Rfam family "Bacterial small subunit ribosomal RNA", at positions 28 to 507 of the family's 1533-position model. The record is from RNAcentral.